This 392-nucleotide ribosomal RNA is filed under the name uncultured organism. RNAcentral describes it as "bacterial SSU rRNA". It matches the Rfam family "Bacterial small subunit ribosomal RNA", at positions 45 to 433 of the family's 1533-position model. The record is from RNAcentral.
GGCCUAACACAUGCAAGUCGAACGGUAACAGGAAGCAGCUUGCUGCUUCGCUGACGAGUGGCGGACGGGUGAGUAAUGUCUGGGAAGCUGCCUGAUGGAGGGGGAUAACUACUGGAAACGGUAGCUAAUACCGCAUAAUGUCGCAAGACCAAAGAGGGGGACCUUCGGGCCUCUUGCCAUCGGAUGUGCCCAGAUGGGAUUAGCUUGUUGGUGGGGUAACGGCUCACCAAGGCGACGAUCCCUAGCUGGUCUGAGAGGAUGACCAGCCACACUGGAACUGAGACACGGUCCAGACUCCUACGGGAGGCAGCAGUGGGGAAUAUUGCACAAUGGGCGCAAGCCUGAUGCAGCCAUGCCGCGUGUAUGAAGAAGGCCUUCGGGUUGUAAAGUCU